CCGUAGGUGAACCUGCGGAAGGAUCAUUAACGCGCCGUGGGGGGACGGGGCCCG
This 54-nucleotide ribosomal RNA is filed under the name Paracoccidioides brasiliensis. Its description in RNAcentral is "partial small subunit ribosomal RNA". Lineage: Eukaryota; Fungi; Ascomycota; Eurotiomycetes; Onygenales; Ajellomycetaceae. The record is from RNAcentral.